This is a long non-coding RNA of Oncorhynchus nerka (sockeye salmon), 2854 nucleotides long. RefSeq lists it as uncharacterized. Lineage: Eukaryota; Metazoa; Chordata; Actinopteri; Salmoniformes; Salmonidae. The record is from RefSeq and is a predicted model, not a curated record. The transcript is spliced from 5 exons.
CUUGUUAUUAUCAGCUUGUUAUUAUCAACUUGUUUGCACCGGCCUUAUCUUUUCUCCCAGAAGAAAAUAAAACAUGUGGGUUGCUAAAGAAUCCUCUCUGCUCUCUUUCUAGGAGAGAGAGAAACAGGAAGACUGAGAGACAGAGACAGACUAACACACACUGUGUGUGUGUGUGUGUUCAUUCCUCUGCUCUGUGAGGUCUGCACAACGCAUCACCGGGGGCAAACUACCUGCCCUCCAGGACACCUACACCACCCGAUGUUACAGGAAGGCCAUAAAGAUCAUCAAGGACAUCAACCACCCGAACCACUGCCUGUUCACCCCGCUAUCAUCCAGAAGGCAAGAAGUCAACAAAUGAGGGUGCCUGGGGACACGCAGGGCCUGGGGUUACCUCCACAUCACCCGAGGAACAGAGGAGGAGUAAGAGAUGGUCCCUCCAUGCUGUCAGUUCCCCUUUCCUCUCCGGAUAUUCCCAGCAUUCUACGGCCAGCGGAACGCAGCGCAGAGAGCAGCCGGGAACUCUGGGAACAGGAGCAGGAAGCUAGCACCGAUCCAGUCGUUCCUUGGUUGGGCCAAGCAGCGCUAGACGGGGAGGAGAGAUUUAGGAGACGGCUGUCACUGUAAAUGGAGCAACAUCGUCCUCUGCUGGUUACUCAUACACUGGUCAUCAGAUCCCACCAUAAUACACAUUAAAAGAAAUACAGUAUAUUGUAUAUCUUUGGCUGAACAAUAACUUUCCCUAAUAUAUACCUUUAUAUUACAUCUAUGAAUGGGUGUAUCAUCUGCAUUCAGUUGGUGGCGGUUAACCAAACAUACUAUAAACUCAACAGCACAAAGUCAGGAUCAAGUUUACAUAAGACAUGAUGCCAAGCAGGUUCAUCCAUCAUUUUAUUGUGCUCUAUGGUAAUGUAUGAUAUCCAUAGUGUGUUACUGUUGAUCAACAUAUUGAUCUGAUCUGUGCUGUACGUUCUGUGGUUGAUCUGUGCUGUACGUUCUGUGGUUGUUCUGUGGUUGAUCUGUGCUGUACGUUCUGUGGUUGAUCUGUGCUGUACGUUCUGUGGUUGAACUGUGCUGUACGUUCUGUGGUUGAACUGUGCUGUACGUUCUGUGGUUGAUCUGUGCUGUACGUUCUGUGGUUGAACUGUGCUGUACGUUCUGUGGUUGAUCUGUGCUGUACGUUCUGUGGUUGAUCUGUGCUGUACGUUCUGUGGUUGAUCUGUGCUGUACGUUCUGUGGUUGAUCUGUGCUGUACGUUCUGUGGUUGAUCUGUGCUGUACGUUCUGUGGUUGAUCUGUGCUGUACGUUCUGUGGUUGAUCUGUGCUGUACGUUCUGUGGUUGAUCUGUGCUGUACGUUCUGUGGUUGAUCUGUGCUGUACGUUCUGUGUUCUCAUCUCCUUUAGUUUGUUUUGAGGAACUCCCCUUCUCCUGUAAUACAAAGGCACAUUCACAUCAGAUAAGCAGACUAAAACCAGUUACAGUCAUCGCUGCAACUCACCAUACGGACUAGGGAGAGGCGAAGGUCGAGAGCCAUGCGUCCUCCGAAACACAACCCAACCAAGCCACACUGCUUCUUGAUAAAAUGCCCACUUAACCCGGAAGCCAGCCACACCAAUGUGUCAGAGGAAACACCGUACACCUGGUGACUGUGUCAGCGUGCAAUGCGCCCAGCCCGCCACAGGAGUCGUUGCUGCGCAUCGGGACAAGGACAUCCUUGCCGGCCAAAUCAUCCCCUAACCCGGACUACGCUGGGCCAAUUGUGCACCGCCCCAUGGGCCUCCCGGUCGUGGGUGGCUGUGACAGAGCCUGGACUCGAACCAAGAAUCUCUAGUGGUACAGCUUGCAUUGUAAUGCAGUGGCUUAGACCACUGCGCCACUCGGGAGGCCCGUUAAGGUCAACGGCAUCAACGGCAUCAUGAACUUUACUCAGUACCCAAGAAUGUUUGCCCAAAACCUGGUUGCCUCUGCCAGGAGGUUGAAACUUGGCCUCAAGUGGAUUUUCCACAAGACAAUAACCCCAAGCACACAUCAAAAUCCACAAAGAAAUGGUUAACCCUAUCAGUCCCGAGACCCCAUCAAAAAUCACCUUUUUAUUUAUCUGACUUUCUUUGUUCUGCAUGACCAGAUAUAUUUAGCCUCACAAUGAAGUGUUUUACCAUUUCCUUUCAGGACAACUGGGGCUACAAGUAGAACAUGCAUUUGACAUGAACAGUUUGAUCAAUGAGUUUUCUUGACAAAUUUAAAAAAAAGUCUGGCAAAGCAGAAACCUGAUAAAAAUGAAUUUCUAUGAAUGGUGUAAGUACAGAAAUUGUUUGCUUAGUGGGAAAUGAAUAUCCAACUAGUCAGUGACAAUUGUGUGGAGUUAAUAGUUUGUGACAGCUUAUUAUAGACACUAUGUCCUGGGAUGUCCUAUGACCUUCUCUGUAGAAUAACCCUUUACAGUAUUAUAGACACUAUGUCCUGGGAUGUCCUAUGACCUUCUCUGUAGAAUAACCCUUUACAGUAUUAUAGACACUAUGUCCUGGGAUGUCCUAUGACCUUCUCUGUAGAAUAACCCUUUACAGUAUUAUAGACACUAUGUCGGCAGGGUAGCCUAGUGGUUAGCGUGUUGGACUAGUAACCAGAAGGUUGCAAGUUCAAAUCCCCGAGCUGACAAGGUACAAAUCUGUCGUUCUGCCCCUAACUGACUUGCCUAGUUAAAUAAAGGUUUAAAAAAAUGUCCUGGGAUUUACUAUGAUCUUCUAUGUAGAAGAACCCCUUACCUUCUAACGACGCUUGUGAGGUCAUAGAGCAAAACAUGUUACACGUGCAUAUUCAUGAGACUUUUGUAGCUCAAAACAUUCAGAUUCUACAGAG